UCCCAGUAAAUCAAACACAUCCACCACUGUGAUGAGUAACAAAUUUGGUGCUCUUGCACAUGAAGAAGAAUACAUAUAUGAUAUCAGCAAGGGAAACGAUAAGUCACAACAAGAUACUACAUAAUUACAAAAGGAUAAUUAGCUAAAAAAAAUGGGUAACUAAGUCUUUUGGACCUGUGUUACAUGGAGGAAAUCACAAAGGCAAAGAGCAAACAGGGGACAACAUAACACAACAAAAUAUGAACAAAAAUGAAGCAAGUCUAAGGGAUAAUGGACAAGAACCUCAACCCAAUUCAACAUUGACAUAUGCACAUGUAGAAGAUAGAAAAAUGAGUGUAGAACAUAAGGGGGUGUACAACAAUAAGGAAGAGAUCAACAUUCCGUCCAGUCAAGAAGAGGAAAUACUCGGAGAUGAGUUAUUGAAUGAUGAUUCCAACAGUCCUGCAACACAAACUAAAAAUCAAUUAUGUCCAUAUGAGAGUGUCAAGAUGACGGAUAAUGGGAUUCACAUUAAUGAUCAUAAGUCAAAUAAUGAUUUAGAUAUUGUGCCUUUCCCUACUCCUAUUCAGACAGAAGACAUUACAAUGGCAAUACCUCAAUCUCCUAAUGAGGUUCUUCAUAAUAUUCUCACCUAUAAAGAAUCAGAAAUCGGACACCUCCAAUUAUGUGACACAAAUGUUCAAGUAGAGGACCUUUCACCUAGAAGUAUUAAAUCAAUAAAGUUUGCAAAGAAGAAUAAAAAACAAGGUAAUGAAGAAUCUAUUCAACCCAUCAGAUCUCAGCCGAAGAGGCAGGUGACACAUAAAAAAUAAUGUUAUCAAUGAAGGCCCUUAUAUGGAAUAUUAGGUAAAAUGCAUUCCAAAGAGUCUUGAUGUUACAUAAUUUUCACAAGUUCAGUUUUGUUGCUCUGAUGGAACUGUUUCAGCAUGUGGGAGGCUUGAACAGAUAUAAUAGAAGAUUGAAAGUGGCAAAGGGGUAUUCCAAUAGUAGUGGUAAAAUUUGGUUAUUUGUGAAUCAUGGAUUUGAUGUAACAGAAGUGAGAAAUUUUGAGCAACAACUUUCUGUAUUGCUUAGAAAUCAAAAUUCUAAAUCAACAUGUGUUACUAUUAUUUAUGAAAAAUGUGACCUCUAUCAGAGAAUGCAACUAUGGGAAGAUAUUUCCCAAGUAGCUGAUGGUCUGCAAUAUUCAUGGAUAAUAGGAGGGGACUUCAAUGUGUUUCUUAAUGAGGAAGAAAAAAUUGGUGGUCGACCAGUGACAGGGAAUGAGGUUGAAGAUUUUUAAAAUUGUAUUGAAUCUAAUGAGCUAUAUCUUGUUCAAUUUAAAGGCACUCCAUUUACUUGGUGGAAUGGUAGGGCUCGAUGUGAUUGCAUCUUUGAGAGAUUAGAUAGAAUUUUUGUUAAUAAUAUGUUGCAAGACCAAUCCAAUUUCUCAGAAGUGGAACAUCUUUCUAGAACUAGAUCGGAUCAUGCUCCUCUUUUAUUCUCAUGUGAAAAUAGAUAUUCCAGAUUCAUCAAACCUUUUAGGUUCCUGAAUUUUUGGACUAAGCAUAGGGGUUUCAAGGAUGUGAUUAAAUAGAUUUGGGAUGAUGAGUAUUCAACCAACUAUUUUCUGGAUUUCAAGAGGAAGAUUAAGAAAGUAAAGGCUGCUCUUUCUUUAUGGAAUAAGGAAACUUUUGGAGACAUAUUCAAACAACUCAUCAUCAGAGAGGAAAUAGCAAGAAUCAAGGAAAAGCACUUUGAGGAAUUUCCCUAUGCUGAAAAUAUAGUUAUUAUGCAAAGGGCAAAGGAUGAAUAUACUAGAUAUUUGCAUCUAAAGAAGAAAUUUUGGCAACAAAAGGCAGGGUAUGAUUGGUUUGACAGGGGUGAUAAAAACAUAAGAUUCUUUCAUAGCUUGGUGAAAAGGAGAAGACAAAGAAUGAAGGUAACAAGAACUCAAAAUGCACAAGGACAAUGGUUGGAAGAUGAAAAUACAAUGGCUCAGGAGGCAAUAACACACUUUCAAAACCAAUUUCAUCAGGACAGAGAUGCCACUAAUAUCACCUUGCUGGACCACAUACCAUAAUUAAUCUCUGAGGAUGAAAACACUGAGUUGGGGAUUGUUCCAAAUGAAGAAGAAGUGAAAAAUGUUGUUUUUAAUCUUAAUGAGGACAAUUCUAGUGGUACAUAUGGACUUACAUGUAGAUUCUACCAAGUUUGUUGGGACAAUGAUAUUUGUAGAAUGGUGUGUGAGUUUUAUGUGGGCAGCUCCUUACCUAGGUUCAUUACUCAUACUAAUUUGAUUCUCAUUCCCAAAAAGGAUAUCAUUCAGUCCUUUUCAGAUAUGAGACCUAUUAGUCUAACAAAAAGGAUAUCAUUCAGUCCUUUUCAGAUAUGAGACCUAUUAGUCUAACAAAAAGGAUAUCAUUCAGUCCUUUUCAGAUAUGAGACCUAUUAGUCUAACAAAAAGGAUAUCAUUCAGUCCUUUUCAGAUAUGAGACCUAUUAGUCUAACAAAAAGGAUAUCAUUCAGUCCUUUUCAGAUAUGAGACCUAUUAGUCUAACAAAAAGGAUAUCAUUCAGUCCUUUUCAGAUAUGAGACCUAUUAGUCUAACAAAAAGGAUAUCAUUCAGUCCUUUUCAGAUAUGAGACCUAUUAGUCUAACAAAAAGGAUAUCAUUCAGUCCUUUUCAGAUAUGAGACCUAUUAGUCUAACAAAAAGGAUAUCAUUCAGUCCUUUUCAGAUAUGAGACCUAUUAGUCUAACAAAAAGGAUAUCAUUCAGUCCUUUUCAGAUAUGAGACCUAUUAGUCUAACAAAAAGGAUAUCAUUCAGUCCUUUUCAGAUAUGAGACCUAUUAGUCUAACAAAAAGGAUAUCAUUCAGUCCUUUUCAGAUAUGAGACCUAUUAGUCUAACAAAAAGGAUAUCAUUCAGUCCUUUUCAGAUAUGAGACCUAUUAGUCUAACAAAAAGGAUAUCAUUCAGUCCUUUUCAGAUAUGAGACCUAUUAGUCUAACAAAAAGGAUAUCAUUCAGUCCUUUUCAGAUAUGAGACCUAUUAGUCUAACAAAAAGGAUAUCAUUCAGUCCUUUUCAGAUAUGAGACCUAUUAGUCUAACAAAAAGGAUAUCAUUCAGUCCUUUUCAGAUAUGAGACCUAUUAGUCUAACAAAAAGGAUAUCAUUCAGUCCUUUUCAGAUAUGAGACCUAUUAGUCUAAGUAAUUUCAUUAACAAGAUCCUGUCCAGAAUUACGCAUGAUAGAUUGGAAAAGAUUCUCCCAAAACUGAUUUCUACUAACCAAUCUGGAUUUGUUAAGGGCAAAAGUAUCAUUAAGAAUGUUCUAUUGGCUCAGGAUCUUGCCACCGAUAUUACUAAGAAGGGAAAGCCUGAGAAUGUGAUUAGAAAGCUGGCUAAGGCCUAUGAUAGGGUUUCUUGGUCCUUUCUUAUGAAAGUACUAAGGAAAAUGGGAUUUUGUAAUAGAGUGGUAGAUUUGAUUUGGAGAUUACUAGCAAAUAAUUACUACUUUGUGCUUCUUAAUGGUCAAUCAUAUAGGUUUUUUCAUUCAACUAGAGGAGUUAAACAAAGGGAUCCUUUAUCUCCAACAUUAUUCAUCUUUUCAGGAGAGGUCCUACAUUAUUCAUCAUUUUAGCAGAGGUCCUUUCUAAAGCUCUCAAUACUCUAUUUGAAGACCCCCAUUUUGUUUGUUAUGGAAUGCCUAAAUGGAGUGCUAAUCUCAAUCAUCUAGCUUUUGUUGAUGAUACCAUUAUUUUUACCUCUUCAAACAUAUAUUCUAUGGAAAAAUUAUGUCUAUUUUGAAGGAUUAUGAGAAGCAAUCAGGUCAAAAGAUCAAUAAGGAAAAUAUUUCUUAUUAUGUACACCAAAAUAUAUCAGCAACCUCUGCUAAUCAAGUGGAACAGAUUACAAGGAAGGUAAGAGGACAAUUCCCUAUGAUAUAUCUAGGAUACCCUAUUACACAUUCUAGAAAAAGAAAGGAGCACUAUGCAGAAUUAUUUAAUAAGAUUAAAGGUAGAUUGCAAAGUUGGAAAGGGAGAAUGCUUUCAUAUGGGGUUAAGGAAGUCCUUCUUACUAGCAUUCUUCAAAGAAUCCCUAUCUAUGUUCUUUCUUCUAUUACCCCCCCCCCCCCCCCCCCCCCCAAACUCCUCCCACACAAAUGUUAGUGUAUCGGUGUGGUACCCAUUCAAAUUGUUAGUGUAUUGAUAUGAUUCAUAGAAUAUUUGCUAAAUUCUAUUGGAGUAAUAAGGAAGAUAGCAGAAAUAAACACUGGUCUAAAUGGGUGAAUAUGUGUCUUUCUAAACAUGAGGGGGAUUUAGGAUUUAGGUCGAUGUUUGAUGUAUGAAAGGCUAUGUAUGCAAAGUUAUGGUGGAAUUUAAGAACUCAAGGUACUUUGUGGUCCAAUUCUAUGUGGACAAAGUAUUGUAAGAAACAAAUUUAUACCUUUGUUCAAUGGAAAGAAGGUUCCCAAAUCUGGAAACAUAUACUUGAGAAUAGGGAAAUGCUAGAGCAACAUAUGUGGUGGGAACCUAGAGGAGGUACUUCUACUGUUUGGUAUGAUAAUUGGUCUAACGUGGGACCCUUGUACCUACAUGCAGUUGAGGAGCAAACUUGUCACCCCAUGAAAAACGUUGAUGAAUUUCUAACUGAGGAUGGGUGGGACUAUACAACAAUGAGAGAUUUUGUCCCUGAGUAUGUUGUAGACAGAAAGUUAAAGCUAAGAUUUGUACAUGCUGUGAUUUAUAAACAUCUACAAGUACCAGUCAAAACAGAGUCAUAUUCAUUGGCAACCUCGACAAAAUAAAGUUAGUAAUCCUUUUUAUAGAUCUAAACCCAAGUGGUGGUAUCAAUUUCAUUUGUGGGAUUCAACUCACCGAGAUUAAAUCUAAGAAGAUGAGAAACUAUGCUUACCUCAGGUUUAGUAUGCAACAAGCAUUAUUGUGGUGGUCAAUUUGAGAUCAAAGCAAGUGUCAUUAAGCGGAUUACUCCGUGGGAAUCGCCUCUGUGUGGUUGUGAGCAAGAGAUAAUCGACUAUGUACGGAUGUGAUCAAGUGUUAAUCGAGAUCGACUGGUUACACCAUGGAUAGUCUUCUUCUAGCUACUAGAAAGAGCUUCCGUGCUCUUCAUUUUCCACGUUUCCUGUUCCUCUUUCCCUUUCCAUUUUCUUUCUUAUUUUGUUUGUUUCCCUUUCUGCAUUUUCUGAACAACUGUUAGGG
Molecule: long non-coding RNA, 5199 nt
Filed under: Solanum tuberosum (potato)
Lineage: Eukaryota; Viridiplantae; Streptophyta; Magnoliopsida; Solanales; Solanaceae
Description: long non-coding RNA (STUB_LNC008216)
Source: RNAcentral